This 253-nucleotide ribosomal RNA is filed under the name uncultured bacterium. RNAcentral's name for it is "partial 16S ribosomal RNA". It matches the Rfam family "Bacterial small subunit ribosomal RNA", at positions 524 to 776 of the family's 1533-position model. The record is from RNAcentral.
UACGGAGGGGGCUAGCGUUGUUCGGAAUUACUGGGCGUAAAGCGCACGUAGGCGGCUUUGCAAGUUAGAGGUGAAAGCCCGGGGCUCAACUCCGGAAUUGCCUUUAAAACUGCAUCGCUAGAAUUGUGGAGAGGUAAGUGGAAUUCCGAGUGUAGAGGUGAAAUUCGUCGAUAUUCGGAAGAACACCAGUGGCGAAGGCGACUUACUGGACACAUAUUGACGCUGAGGUGCGAAAGCGUGGGGAGCAAACAGG